RNAcentral lists this long non-coding RNA (1473 nucleotides) under Spirodela polyrhiza (greater duckweed). RNAcentral describes it as "long non-coding RNA (SPOL_LNC001949)". The stretch from base 74 to 165 matches the Rfam family "Small nucleolar RNA U61". The record is from RNAcentral. Lineage: Eukaryota; Viridiplantae; Streptophyta; Magnoliopsida; Alismatales; Araceae.
UGCAGUCUCUCUCUCUCUCUCUCUCAAUCUCUCUCUCUACUAGCUCCUCUCUUCUCUCUGAUGCUUGACGGUCUGGCGAUGAGGAAAACCUUCGUGCCGGAGGUCGGUGGAUCCUCGGAUCUCCGUCGGUGAUGGUGACACAACCCUCUAAGAAGUUCUGAGCCGACCUUCGAUUCUACUCGAGAACUGUUUUUCUCGCUGGAUUUACCUUAUCGGUUCCCAUUCGCGCAAUGAGAUGUGUUCUGGAAUGUUUCCUUCCGUUUGAUUUGUCUCCUGUUCGUGCUACGCCGGAUUCAAUUGGCGGUGGGGGUUUCGGCGAGAUGACGAUGAGAUUCAUAUAUAUAGUCUGUCAAUCCACUGAUUCAUCGUGAUGUUGCUCGUGAAUCAUCGAGAUAUGUUCUGAUCGCCCUAGCAUCCACCCCACCCCAGACAGCCGUUCCUCCUCGUCCCGUGACGGUUUUUUACUAUCAUCGCCCCAUCCCUUUCUGUUUUUAACUCUGUUCUUAAGUUUAUCGUAUUAAUUUAGGAUUUGCCAUCUGAAAAAUAGGACAGAUAUCUGAGUUCCUGAUCAUUAAUUGCUAUCUGGUUCUGAUUGAUGUGAUCCUACUCAUCCGCCAUAUUACCUAAUAGACUCGUAUUACGGCACUUCGGAAUAUUUGAUCAACAGUUCUGCAUCAUUUUGGGCAUUGAUCGCAUGUGUGAUAGUUUACGGCUGAUUAGAGGACAAUGGAUUUCAGUGCAUGAUGGAAUCAUGCUUCGAAGCUCGUGUUACGGAGUAUACGCCUGGUUGGGGAACAGCGGCUCUUGAAUGUAUUGAAAAUCAUCCGUUGAAUCUUUCUGAACUCACAAGCUCAGAUGUGUAGCCAUUCAAGGAACACAAUUAACUAACUAAUGAAUGAAAUACUGCAAAUAUUUCAGCCUCCGUAAUUCUUGUCAAAUUAUUUUUUCAUCAACCACUUCUUUCCUUUCAAUCUAAGAACUCCAAGGUACCUCGUGACGCCUCAUGAUCAUCGGAUUUGAAUAGCACAACAAAUGAAUUUAUUUUUUCUUGCUAGUUAUCCCUAUCUUUGAGAAUCUGAUUUCUGACAAUUAGUUCUCCACAUCGUGUGGGCAUUUUUAGAAAAGAUAGAAGCCAUAUCUUGAAAUUCUACUAAUGUUUCAUAGAUUCAACGAGAAAUUCAACAGUUAUAUCAACACCAAGAAUUGAAUGUAUAAUUGCAAAUAUUUCACCAAACAUUAUAAUAGUAAUGCAAUUUGGGCAUAGUAAUAUUACGUCUAAAAAAUCCUUGUGCACCUAAGUCAAUUUCUAAGUGUCACAAAUGUGGUGAACAUGGUCAAAUGUUUGUUCUGGGAAUAGAGAAAAGAAAUAUUUUUAGUCUUUAAUGGUUAGAAGAUUAAUGAAUAUAUUAAUGAAUAUAGACAAAAAAGCAUGUGAUGUUAACACUAGUAAUAAUGGAAAUAUCUUUAUUUAUA